UGGUCUAAGUUGCGUGUCCUCGGCUAUGGCGCUUGCAAGCGGAGGAAUGGCGGCUUUUCAAGCACUUGGGCACGAACGAUUCGUCAAGCCAAUGCGAGCCAAGCGAGGAAGAAGAGUGUGGACGAAUGUUUCCAAGCUUGACACUUUGCAGCCGGGCUGGGAAGAAGAUAAGUUCUCCAAGUACUCGGGCUAUAUUUCUGAUGUGUCCAACGACGAGACCGAGUUUAAAGAGUAUGAUCCAGAUCAAAUCUCGAGAGCUUUCAAGAAUCGCCCUCUUCUUUUGAUGCGUCGAUUGCUGCAAAUCUCUUUCAAAGUUGGAGGCUGGCUUGGAAUUCGGUACUUUGAUUCGUUACUUGGCCGGUCUGAUGCUCUCUUCAAGAAACGCGCUGCUGAGUUUCGGGAGGCACUAGUAGAGCUUGGGCCGGCUUUUGUAAAGAUCGCACAAGCAGUGUCUUCACGUCCAGAUUUAAUUCCACCAGCGUACAUCGCCGAGCUUUCUCUCCUUCAAGACCAAAUCGCACCAUUCUCCACCAAAGCCGCUUUGAGCAUCAUCGAGUCGGAGCUUGGUGUUCCAGUUGAUGUCUUGUUCUCGGAAAUCACUCCCGCGCCUGUUGCAGCAGCAUCCCUUGGCCAGGUUUAUCAAGCUCGACUUCGACCAAGUGGUGACACUGUUGCUGUCAAGGUGCAAAGGCCAGGGGUGAAAGCAACCAUAUCUUUGGACAUUUAUAUACUUAGAAUUCUGGCUGGCUAUGCUAGAAUUGUUGGAAGAUUUAACACAGAUUUGCAGGCUGUUGUAGACGAAUGGGCCAGUAGUCUCUUUAGAGAAAUGGACUAUGAAGCUGAAGCACGAAAUGGAGAGAGAUUCAGGCGUUUGUUUGGAGAUAUCCCCGAUCUUACAAUCCCGAAGAUGUACAAGGAACUCUCCAGCCAGCGAGUGUUGAUCAUGGAAUGGGUUGAGGGACAGAAGUUAUCAGAAGCCAAAGAUCUUCGACUCGUAGAGAUUGGAACGUAUUGUUCAUUGUCACAAAUUUUAGAAACAGGUUUUUACCACGCUGAUCCUCAUCCGGGCAACCUUUUGUGUACGACUGAUGGUAAACUAGCUUAUAUUGACUUUGGGAUGAUGGGUGAAAUCAAGCAAAAUUUUAGAGAUGCUAUAGUUGAGGCCUCUUUGCACCUUGUAAAUCGGGAGUUUGAUGCACUGGCAGGAGAUAUCGUUAAUCUCGGAUUUCUUCCUCCCACAGCUCCAUCAGCGGAAGUGAGCCGUGCACUUACAGGUGAGUCGAUACCAUCAUACUUUUCUCUCGUGAUUCGAAGUUUAACGGUGUUGGAAGGAAUAGCCAUUACCAUCGAUCCAAACUACAAGGUUUUGGGACGCUCUUACCCUUGGAUAGCUAGGAAAGUUUUGACUGAUGAUUCGCCAACGCUUAGAUCAACUCUUUACAAUCUGUUAUACAAGGAUGGUACAUUUCAAAUCGAUCGUCUAGAAUCUCUAAUACUUGAGGUGCGUUAAUGAGAGCAUUUUGAUUCUGUUUUGGUUACUCUUACCAAGUGAUGGUUUACAUAGUCUUCAAAAGCCACUGCAAACUGGUCACUAGAUCAAGCUACUACCGAGGCACUCCAGAAUCGAUUGUAUACUUUUAUACUUAGCGACCAGGGUGAAUACGUGAAAGGUGUCCUUCUCGACGAAGUUGUGAAGGGAAUAGAUGCUCUAAAUCGUUCCACACUUGAGAGAUUGGUCUCAAGCUUGGGGUUAUCAAUCCAGGGACUAGUCGACGCCCAAGACGAGGAAAAUCUCAUCAACCUUCUUCGCAUAUUGGCCUUGAUAACUUCAACUUCUGAUAGCUCCUCCAAGCUUCUGAAGUAUGAUCGCACAAGCACAAGCCUCGUCACGAGAACUCCGGAGUUUCUUUCACUGUUGGGCGACUCGAGCGAGUUUCUAAAAUGGUUCUCGGUCCUUGUGAAGCUCCCACUUCCCUUGCAGCAAAAGCUAUUGUUGGUGCCUUUAGAAGUUACAAACAAGCUUGUUUCUCGCGCAAUUGCCAGAGUUUUGAGGAGCUCGCUUUAAAUGGGAUAAGAACUUCUAUAAAGACUGCUGGAAAAGCUGGUAGCUUGCAAAGAACCUCAGAAAGAAGGCGAAGAGUGGAGGAUUAUCUUGCCUCUACUGCUGAGCUCGUUGUCUAUUUUCCGCGCUGAUAAACGAGUACUAUCGGCGCAGUGAUGUCUUUGUGCACAGUCAUUAAGUGAGGAGCUAGAAACUUUCACAAGCAAGCUUUCCGUGCUUGGCUGGUAUGCUCGAGAAUUCCAAGCUUGUGGAGCACUAUGCAGGGACGCAUCCUUUCUCGUUGGCCUUGCUCAACAAAAGCUGUAUGAAUGGCAGAGGGCGGAGGUAUGCUUUACUGGAGUGGCAAACAGCUGUUGAAACUUCUAGACUCGGCUCCGCUAGCAAACUUGAACGUGCUUAUCACACGGAUUAUGGACAUGGGCUUGCUGGAUAGGCGCUUGAUCACAGAGUUACCCAAAUAUUGCUUCGUAAGUGCUAUGAUGCAUGAGCAUGUUGAGGCAUGUGUUGAGGUUGGAGAUGGUAGUACUCUAUACAAGAUUAAUUUGGUGGAUUGACUUAAGUUUUCAAUUUUUCAGUGA
Molecule: RNA transcript, 2640 nt
Organism: Selaginella moellendorffii
Lineage: Eukaryota; Viridiplantae; Streptophyta; Lycopodiopsida; Selaginellales; Selaginellaceae
Exons: 21
Source: RefSeq, a predicted model, not a curated record